This 265-nucleotide long non-coding RNA is filed under the name Selaginella moellendorffii. RNAcentral's name for it is "long non-coding RNA (SMOE_LNC000628)". The record is from RNAcentral. Lineage: Eukaryota; Viridiplantae; Streptophyta; Lycopodiopsida; Selaginellales; Selaginellaceae.
GAUAGAUUCGUGCGAAACUUAGUUCUCAGUAGCAAAGGAAAAAGAUGGAAUCGAGAAACUUACGCUAGAGCUUCGGCAGAGCCAAUGGCGAUGUUCAUCCUUCUUUCCCAGUCGAGGUUUGACUCCGCGGCCAAGUGUCCGUGUAAAUGCGCUGACAAGCUUAAGUUCGGCAUGUAGUUGUACACCAAAAGACGCUCUUUGCCUUCGGCGCAAUAACCACGCAAGCUCAGUAAAUUCUUGUGACGGACUCUUCCCAGGAUCUCGA